GGGUCCUGGCCCCCCAGGAGCGGGCAGUACCAUGCGGUCAACUGUUAAGUAUUUUGGAAAGCAUCCCUGGCCUGUAGCCCCCAACAAUCUCCAUCAAAGCCUGCCUCGCCCCAACUGGUUUGGCUCAGUGGCUUGAGCGUUGGCCUAUGGACUGAAGGUCC
Long non-coding RNA from Myotis brandtii (Brandt's bat), 161 nucleotides. RefSeq lists it as uncharacterized. The transcript is spliced from 3 exons. The record is from RefSeq and is a predicted model, not a curated record. NCBI's taxonomy places the organism in Eukaryota, Metazoa, Chordata, Mammalia, Chiroptera, Vespertilionidae.